RNAcentral lists this long non-coding RNA (253 nucleotides) under Theobroma cacao (cacao). RNAcentral describes it as "long non-coding RNA (TCAC_LNC001154)". The record is from RNAcentral. Lineage: Eukaryota; Viridiplantae; Streptophyta; Magnoliopsida; Malvales; Malvaceae.
GCCAAACCAAGAGCAAAGGAAUAACAAAGGGAGAAAAGAAAAACAAGAACCCUAGGUGGGAAAAUUCAAAGGAAAAUUGGUGGAUUUCAAGGAAUCAAGCAAUCAAAGGUAAAAUUUCUUGAUUUUGACUUGUGAUCUACCUUUCCCAUGCAUUUCACCUUAUUUUUCAUGGUUAGAUUUCAUGUUUUCAUGGUGGAUUGGUGGCUGGUCAAAAUGGGUAUGGAGAGAGAAAGAUGUUGAUUGAUUUGAUUUU